GCUUAACACAUGCAAGUCGAACGGGGAUAUGUUAUGGAAGUACUUCGGUACCAAAGUGCAUAUCUUAGUGGCGGACGGGUGAGUAACGCGUGAGCAACCUACCCAUCAGAGGGGGACAACAGUUGGAAACGACUGCUAGUACCGCAUAAGACCACGAUAUCACAUGAUAUUGAGGUUAAAGAUUUAUCGCUGAUGGAUGGGCUCGCGUCCCAUUAGGUAGUUGGUAGGGUAAAGGCCUACCAAGCCUGCGAUGGGUAACCGACCUGAGAGGGUGAUCGGUCACACUGGAACUGAGAGACGGUCCAGACUCCUACGGGAGGCAGCAGUGGGGAAUAUUGGGCAAUGGACGAAAGUCUGACCCAGCAACGCCGCGUGAAGGAAGAAGGUUUUCGGAUUGUAAACUUCUGUAAUCGGGGACGAAGGAAAUGACGGUACCCGAGAAGUAAGCCCCGGCUAACUACGUGCCAGCCGCCGCAGUAA
RNAcentral lists this ribosomal RNA (480 nucleotides) under uncultured bacterium. Its description in RNAcentral is "partial 16S ribosomal RNA". It matches the Rfam family "Bacterial small subunit ribosomal RNA", at positions 46 to 523 of the family's 1533-position model. The record is from RNAcentral.